This 550-nucleotide long non-coding RNA is filed under the name Homo sapiens (human). Its description in RNAcentral is "HSALNT0193376". The record is from RNAcentral. Lineage: Eukaryota; Metazoa; Chordata; Mammalia; Primates; Hominidae.
CAUUCACUGAUCCCACGAGCAGCAUAGUUUCGCAGAAACCUAAAUGGAGACCCAGAGUGGAAUGAAAGAGCCUGGAGACCUUCGUAUCAUUGACAAAUGAUGCGAAGGUUGGUACAUUAGUGGGGGAAGACAAAUAUGGAAACAAAUACUAUGAAGACAACAAGCAAUUUUUUGGCCGUCACCGAUGGGUUGUAUAUACUACUGAAAUGAAUGGCAAAAACACAUUCUGGGAUGUGGAUGGAAGCAUGGUGCCUCCUGAAUGGCAUCGUUGGCUUCACAGUAUGACUGAUGAUCCUCCAACAACAAAACCACUUACUGCUCGUAAAUUCAUUUGGACGAACCAUAAAUUCAACGUGACUGGCACCCCAGAACAAUAUGUACCUUAUUCUACCACUAGAAAGAAGAUUCAGGAGUGGAUCCCACCUUCAACACCUUACAAGUAAAGACAAUGAAGAACAGUUGAAACAUGCAAAAUAUGGAGCUUUUCAUGUAAUUACUCUUUUACUGUUUACCAUUCACUAUAAUUCACAAUUAAAAUUGUGUGACUAAA